GGUUGUUCGGCAAAAGACAGCGUAGAACCUAGUUGUUACCUGAAAAAUUAAAAUUGAGACUGUCAGUUUCGAGAGUGAGUUAAAAUCAUAUACUCUAAGUUUGAGCAAUCAUAAAUAUAAAAUAAUUAUUAAAUAGUAUAGAAUAUCAUAAAAUAACAAAUGCGUGUCAUAUCGUAAUUUUUUUAAAAUGUAAUUUUUAACACAUACGGGAUGAGUACUUCAGCAGAACCCUGAACCUCCAAUUCUAGCAGCUUUUUGGCUCUCUUAUUCCAAUAAGAUUGGCGCCUAGAGAGCAAAGCUCGAACAGGGUCCUUAAGUCCAGUUUGGCCACUUAAACACUAAUACAGCUGGCACCUAGAGAGCACCGUUCGACCAAGGACCUUUCUCCGAAAAAUCAGACUUCCAUAGGCCCAGAGAGCUAUGCUCGACCAAGGUAUAUCACCGAAUAUUCAUCUAUUACCUGACUCUGAUUCACCAGUGUGGAUGCGAUCCUGAUGUAGCCAUCAGGUAAUGUGUUCUAAUGUUGCCUCAUCUCGAGCCACAAAAUAUUAGCAUCAAUAAUAUUAUAUGUAAUUUUUAUAAAAUUAAUAAUAAUUGAACAACCACAAUGAUAAUAAUAAUAAUAAUAAUAAUAAUAAUAAUAAAAUAAUAAUAAUAAUAAUAAUAAAUGUAAUGCAUGAAUAAUAAUAAUAUUAUUAAUAGUAGUGAAAAUAGAUUUAAUAAUACUUAUACUACUAAUAUAACCAUAAUAAUUAUUCAUUUAAGAAUUUUACUUAAAUGGAGAUAUGACACAGGCAGUAGUAUAUAUGACUCUAACUCACAGUUAUGUCAAAUCUCUACUAACUCCUCCUACGCCUCGAGUGGAGCUAGCUGAACCAGUGGAUUAUCUAUUCACGAAAGUAAUUAAGAUAAUUAAGUUACUAAAAUAUUUCAUAAUUUAUCUUAUACCUAGACUCCUAGAUUAGACUGCCUAAAGAAAUUUCGACUGAUUCCUACUCGGAAAUUCUACCAUAUAUUCUACAGAACCUCCCAUAAAAUACAGACGUUUAUCUCGGUAUAACAGGUCCAGAACCUGCUAAAAAUACUUCAACUAUUUAAUAAUUAUUUAAUAGAAAUUGAAUCACCCAUAACUGCAUUAUAUUUUCUUCGACUCUGCAACACAACCUAGUUCACAUACAAUAAUUAACAGUCCAUCAAUAAAUAUUAUUUCAUAAUGCAACACACAAAUAUUUUUCUUGCAUCUUAAUUUAAUUACUCACCACCUCAAUUUAUAAAAUCAAAUAAUAAUUACCACUAUAAUUAAUCUAUAGUAUUUCUAUUAACAAGCUACUAAUUAAUUAAAUUAUUUAAUUAAUUAUUAAUAAUUAACAACUAUUGCGCCAAAUAUUUUAUAAAAAUUUCUAAAUAAUUUAUCGAGUCCAAAAUAAAUUAUACCGAGUUGAAAAUUUAAAAUUUUGGGCGUUCAGAAAACACUAGAGUCAGAAAGUCUAUAUCGCCAACGACGUCGGAUUUCGGAUCCGGCGACACCUACAUGAAGCUUGACUUUCUAGGAGUCUGAAUAUGCAAUUUCUUCCGCCAAAAACUCGCCGAGAACCACCGGAUCAAGGCUGGAAAGUUUUGGCUCCUGCGAGACUUACACACCACUGCCACCAAGGGAAAAUGGCGGGGAAGCUUGACCUAGGGGUUUUAAAUGGUAGGGCGCACGAAUCCAUCAUCGAAUUUACGAGAAAGGGGUGGCGGAAGUUUAUUCUGGCAGCAAGGGUGACAGCUCCUCCUUCUGCUCAUUUCGAUUUUUCAGCGAAAAUGGGGGAAUAAAGGCGGUGACAGUGAAGGAAGGGGGAGGAAGGAGUUUCGAUGGGUUGAGGGAGGUGUAGGUGGCAAAAAUGGAAGAAGCCGGGGAGGGAGAGAGACCAGCAGGGAGAAAGAAGGAGAGGGAGAAAGGGGUGGGGCUUGGUGAUAUUUUCCAACAACCAAAAUUUCCUAUUAGCCUCCCUAUAAAAACAUUGCUA
Molecule: long non-coding RNA, 2009 nt
Filed under: Ricinus communis (castor bean)
Lineage: Eukaryota; Viridiplantae; Streptophyta; Magnoliopsida; Malpighiales; Euphorbiaceae
Description: long non-coding RNA (RCOM_LNC002436)
Source: RNAcentral